RNAcentral lists this ribosomal RNA (468 nucleotides) under uncultured bacterium. RNAcentral's name for it is "partial 16S ribosomal RNA". It matches the Rfam family "Bacterial small subunit ribosomal RNA", at positions 28 to 507 of the family's 1533-position model. The record is from RNAcentral.
GACGAACGCUGGCGGCGUGCUUAACACAUGCAAGUCGAACGGAAAGGCCCUGCUUUUGUGGGGUGCUCGAGUGGCGAACGGGUGAGUAACACGUGAGUAACCUGCCCUUGACUUUGGGAUAACUUCAGGAAACGGGGGCUAAUACCGGAUAGGAGCUCCUGCUGCAUGGUGGGGGUUGGAAAGUUUCGGCGGUUGGGGAUGGACUCGCGGCUUAUCAGCUUGUUGGUGGGGUAGUGGCUUACCAAGGCUUUGACGGGUAGCCGGCCUGAGAGGGUGACCGGCCACAUUGGGACUGAGAUACGGCCCAGACUCCUACGGGAGGCAGCAGUGGGGAAUAUUGCACAAUGGGCGGAAGCCUGAUGCAGCAACGCCGCGUGCGGGAUGACGGCCUUCGGGUUGUAAACCGCUUCCGCCUGUGACGAAGCGUGAGUGACGGUAAUGGGUAAAGAAGCACCGGCUAACUACGUG